AAUUGACCUCGGAUCAGGUAGGGAUACCCGCUGAACUUAAGCAUAUCAAUAAGCGGAGGAAAAGAAACCAACAGGGAUUGCCUCAGUAACGGCGAGUGAAGCGGCAACAGCUCAAAUUUGAAAAUCCUGGCUCCUUCGGGGUCCGAAUUGUAAUUUGUAGAGAGUGCUUCGGGCGAGAUCUCGGUCUAAGUCCAUUGGAACAUGGUGUCAUAGAGGGUGAGAAUCCCGUAUGCCGACCGUGGCUCGAGCCCAUGUGAAGCCUCUUCGACGAGUCGAGUUGUUUGGGAAUGCAGCUCAAAAUGGGUGGUAAAUUUCAUCUAAAGCUAAAUACUGGCUGGAGACCGAUAGCGCACAAGUAGAGUGAUCGAAAGAUGAAAAGCACUUUGGAAAGAGAGUCAAACAGUACGUGAAAUUGUUGAAAGGGAAGCGCUUGCAACCAGACCUGCCCGUAGGCGAUCAGCCGCUGUUCUCAGCGGUGUACUCGCUCUGCGAUCAGGCCAGCAUCGGUUUCGGCGGUCGGAUAAAGACCUUGGGAAUGUAGCUUCCCUUCGGGGAAGUCUUAUAGCCCUCGGUGUAAUGCGGCCAGCCGGGACCGAGGACCGCGCUUCGGCUAGGAUGCUGGCGUAAUGGUUGUAAGCGACCCGUCUUGAAACACGGACCAAGGAGUCUAACAUCUAUGCGAGUGUUUGGGUGUCAAACCCAUACGCGGAAUGAAAGUGAACGGAGGUGAGAACCCUUAAGGGCGCAUCAUCGACCGAUCCAGAUGUCUUCGGAUGGAUUUGAGUAUGAGCAUAGCUGUUGGGACCCGAAAGAUGGUGAACUAUGCCUGAAUAGGGUGAAGCCAGAGGAAACUCUGGUGGAGGCUCGCAGCGGUUCUGACGUGCAAAUCGAUCGUCAAAUUUGGGUAUAGGGGCGAAAGACUAAUCGAACCAUCUAGUAGCUGGUUCCUGCCGAAGUUUCCCUCAGGA
This 968-nucleotide ribosomal RNA is filed under the name Xanthoparmelia conspersa. Its description in RNAcentral is "LSU rRNA". It matches the Rfam family "Eukaryotic large subunit ribosomal RNA", at positions 1 to 978 of the family's 3401-position model. The record is from RNAcentral. Lineage: Eukaryota; Fungi; Ascomycota; Lecanoromycetes; Lecanorales; Parmeliaceae.